GGACGGUUAGGGAAGCAGCACCCCGACGGAGGGCUGAGCAUUGCAGGCACAGGGGCUGUGCUAGAACCAGUGGGAGAGCACGCCCGCCAUCCCAGCACUCAGGAGGCUGAGGCAGGAGGAUCGCUUCCAGGCCAGUCUGGGCUAUGUAGAGUCCAAGACUUGCCUCGACCGCAUAGCGAGACCCUGUCUCAAAAGAUAAAAAGUAAAAUCAAAAGAGCAAGGUACAUAUGAAGGGGCCCACAAAGCCAGAAGAGCCUAGGACCCAGAAAAGUCCCAAUGUAGCCCUGACUUUGGAGCUGUGACACUGAAGACUGGAGCCCCCUUAUCCUCCAACUCAGAGGCCCACAGCCCUGUGCUGUGUCCGCUCCGAAGACGUCAUGUGAGCUGGUCUGGGCACUUCGCCACAGCAAGGUCUACACCCAGAUGUCGCCUGCACAUCUAGUCCCUUUGCUCUCGCCCCAGGAGAUAGUGGCUCCUGAGCCUGUCCUCCAAUGUCCACCCUCCCCGGGGACCCUGAGCAGCUCUGUGACUUUCCUUUGGACCCUUUUUUUCCCACCAAACUAUGGACUUCUAACUGCAGUGCAAAAAUGCCCCUAGAUUAUCUCCGCUUUUAUUCUUUAAGCAUUGGCUUGGGACAGCACUGUUUGGCCCAAGAGGUCCAAGACCUUGAUGUCACCUUCCUUCGAGGACACUGUAGUGCACAGAGUGACCCUGUAUCGCUUCACUGGGUGCUGGAAGGUUCCGGAAAUGAUCAGGGCAGGAAGGUGAGAGAGCCCAAGCAACCCAGGAAUCAAGCAAGCAUCCACCGAAGGGAUGGGCACCCCCCCCCCAAGCUAAGUUGGUGGCAGUCUACAGCCGCCCUAGACAGCCAGUCUUGGGGCGCUGCAUUUGGAGAGAGGCUAAGCGAGGUCACAGGUGAUGUGGGGGGAGCCAGCUGGAGAUAGGGUCAGAGCCAGCACAAGACAGAAGAAGGUGUAUUCUGGGCGACCGCUGCUCACAGUCCCCAAGGCUGCCAUGACCUCAAGCAGGCAUGUGAACUUGUCCUGUAGACCCCUGUUAUGGUGGGCUUCUGAGAAAGAGGUGUAUCACCUGCUUGUAAAAACAAGACAAGAUGGGGUAUGGUGGUACACACCUGUAAUCCCAGCACUCAAGAGGCUAAGGCAGAAGGAUCGCUGCCGAUUUGAGGCCAGCCUGGGUUACAUAGUGAGUUCAAGGUCGGCCUGGACUACAUAGCAAGACCUUGUCUCAAAUAAACAAAAAUAAUAAUAAAACAAAACAAACACAAUGUUCUUUCUUCUCUCUGA
Molecule: long non-coding RNA, 1304 nt
Organism: Heterocephalus glaber (naked mole-rat)
Lineage: Eukaryota; Metazoa; Chordata; Mammalia; Rodentia; Bathyergidae
Source: RefSeq, a predicted model, not a curated record